UGAACGCGAAGAACCUUACCAGGUCUUGACAUCCUCUGACAAUCCUAGAGAUAGGACUUCCCCUUCGGGGGCAGAGUGACAGGUGGUGCAUGGUUGUCGUCAGCUCGUGUCGUGAGAUGUUGGGUUAAGUCCCGCAACGAGCGCAACCCUUGAUCUUAGUUGCCAGCAUUCAGUUGGGCACUCUAAGGUGACUGCCGGUGACAAACCGGAGGAAGGUGGGGAUGACGUCAAAUCAUCAUGCCCCUUAUGACCUGGGCUACACACGUGCUACAAUGGACAGAACAAAGGGCAGCGAAACCGCGAGGUUAAGCCAAUCCCACAAAUCUGUUCUCAGUUCGGAUCGCAGUCUGCAACUCGACUGCGUGAAGCUGGAAUCGCUAGUAAUCGCGGAUCAGCAUGCCGCGGUGAAUACGUUCCCGGGUCUUGUACACACGCA
This 436-nucleotide ribosomal RNA is filed under the name bacterium CPTAC2C. RNAcentral describes it as "bacterial SSU rRNA". It matches the Rfam family "Bacterial small subunit ribosomal RNA", at positions 956 to 1394 of the family's 1533-position model. The record is from RNAcentral.